Molecule: ribosomal RNA, 253 nt
Filed under: uncultured bacterium
Lineage: Bacteria
Description: partial 16S ribosomal RNA
Rfam family: Bacterial small subunit ribosomal RNA
Source: RNAcentral
UACGAAGGGGGCGAGCGUUGUUCGGAUUUACUGGGCGUAAAGAGCGUGUAGGCGGCCAUACAGGUCAGCUGUGAAAACUCGAGGCUCAACCUCGAGACGUCGGUUGAAACCGUAUGGCUAGAGUCCGGAAGAGGAGAGUGGAAUUCCCGGUGUAGCGGUGAAAUGCGCAGAUAUCGGGAAGAACACCCGUGGCGAAGGCGGCUCUCUGGGACGGUACUGACGCUGAGACGCGAAAGCGUGGGGAGCGAACAGG